RNAcentral lists this transfer RNA (69 nucleotides) under Nyholmiella gymnostoma. RNAcentral's name for it is "partial tRNA-Leu". The record is from RNAcentral. Lineage: Eukaryota; Viridiplantae; Streptophyta; Bryopsida; Orthotrichales; Orthotrichaceae.
GACGCUACGGACUUAAAUAAUUUGAGCAGAAAAUCCGUUGGCUUUAUUGACCAUGAGGGUUCAAGUCCC